UAGGGAAUCUUCCGCAAUGGGCGAAAGCCUGACGGAGCAACGCCGCGUGAGUGAUGAAGGUCUUCGGAUCGUAAAACUCUGUUAUUAGGGAAGAACAAAUGUGUAAGUAACUAUGCACGUCUUGACGGUACCUAAUCAGAAAGCCACGGCUAACUACGUGCCAGCAGCCGCGGUAAUACGUAGGUGGCAAGCGUUAUCCGGAAUUAUUGGGCAUAAAGCGCGCGUAGGCGGUUUUUUAAGUCUGAUGUGAAAGCCCACGGCUCAACCGUGGAGGGUCAUUGGAAACUGGAAAACUUGAGUGCAGAAGAGGAAAGUGGAAUUCCAGGUGUAGCGGUGAAAUGCGCAGAGAUAUGGAGGAACACCAGUGGCGAAGGCGACUUUCUGGUCUGUAACUGACGCUGAUGUGCGAAAGCGUGGGGAUCAAACAGG
Molecule: ribosomal RNA, 429 nt
Filed under: Actinomycetes bacterium
Lineage: Bacteria; Bacillati; Actinomycetota; Actinomycetes
Description: Actinobacteria bacterium partial 16S ribosomal RNA
Rfam family: Bacterial small subunit ribosomal RNA
Source: RNAcentral